RNAcentral lists this ribosomal RNA (773 nucleotides) under uncultured bacterium. RNAcentral describes it as "bacterial SSU rRNA". It matches the Rfam family "Bacterial small subunit ribosomal RNA", at positions 8 to 798 of the family's 1533-position model. The record is from RNAcentral.
AGAGUUUGAUCAUGGCUCAGGACGAACGCUGGCGGCGUGCUUAACACAUGCAAGUCGAACGGAAAGGCCCUUCGGGGUACUCGAGUGGCGAACGGGUGAGUAACACGUGGGUGAUCUGCCCUGCACUUUGGGAUAAGCCUGGGAAACUGGGUCUAAUACCGAAUAUGACCACGCUCUUCAUGGGGUGUGGUGGAAAGCUUUUGCGGUGUGGGAUGGGCCCGCGGCCUAUCAGCUUGUUGGUGGGGUAAUGGCCUACCAAGGCGACGACGGGUAGCCGGCCUGAGAGGGUGACCGGCCACACUGGGACUGAGAUACGGCCCAGACUCCUACGGGAGGCAGCAGUGGGGAAUAUUGCACAAUGGGCGCAAGCCUGAUGCAGCGACGCCGCGUGAGGGAUGACGGCCUUCGGGUUGUAAACCUCUUUCAAUAGGGACGAAGCGCAAGUGACGGUACCUAUAGAAGAAGCACCGGCCAACUACGUGCCAGCAGCCGCGGUAAUACGUAGGGUGCGAGCGUUGUCCGGAAUUACUGGGCGUAAAGAGCUCGUAGGUGGUUUGUCGCGUUGUUCGUGAAAACUCACAGCUUAACUGUGGGCGUGCGGGCGAUACGGGCAGACUAGAGUACUGCAGGGGAGACUGGAAUUCCUGGUGUAGCGGUGGAAUGCGCAGAUAUCAGGAGGAACACCGGUGGCGAAGGCGGGUCUCUGGGCAGUAACUGACGCUGAGGAGCGAAAGCGUGGGGAGCGAACAGGAUUAGAUACCCCGGUAGUCCAA